CCUCCGACUUCUUCAAAUGGACGAUGGACUCCGGUCUGUCCUGGUCUCUGUCGGAUCAGAACCUCACCCUCCUGGUUCCAUCUUCAGACGCUGUCACAAAAAUGUCUCUGGAUGACAGAAACUUCUGGACCACGAAGGGAAACCUGCCGAGUCUCAUCAGGAAUCACAUGAUCCCUGGUAACUUUCCGUUAUCCAGCCUGAGCUCUGCUUCCUCUGUCACUUCACUUCUCAAGACAACAUUUCCUGUUU
Molecule: long non-coding RNA, 249 nt
Organism: Lates calcarifer (barramundi perch)
Lineage: Eukaryota; Metazoa; Chordata; Actinopteri; Centropomidae
Exons: 3
Source: RefSeq, a predicted model, not a curated record